Molecule: long non-coding RNA, 539 nt
Organism: Dreissena polymorpha
Lineage: Eukaryota; Metazoa; Mollusca; Bivalvia; Myida; Dreissenidae
Exons: 2
Source: RefSeq, a predicted model, not a curated record
UCCAACCAGGUCUGAUUGUUUGUUUUCAAUUGACGUGUUUUAAUUUUUUCAGCUCAUUAUGUAUCAUAAUCGAGUUAGAUUUCCUUAAGCGUACAUGCAGAAAUUAAAAUGUCAAAACAAAAAGUGUUAACGUUGAACGAGAAAAUUCGGGUUUUGGAAUUGUCAAAGAGUAUAAGUGCACGUAAAAUCGCAGACGAGAUUGGAGUCGGAAAAACCCAAAUUCAGAACAUUCUUAAGCGUAAAGCCGAGGUGCUUGAAGACGUGGAAAAUAAUGUGUCAGUGACAUGUCAAGCAUGAAGACACAGCUUCACAUAAACCCAGAACAAAUGCUUAAUGUGUCCAGAACCAGAAAUGACAUUCUUCGGGACAUAAACAAAAAUUUGGAUGAAGAACUCGUGCCCAACUCGUGUCUUUAAAAAAAGAAAUAUUUCAACGUUCAAUUAUUUCCAGAAAUCUUAAUAUGUAUUUACUGAUAUGACAUGAUGUGUAUAUUGUACUCUCUAAAUAUUAUAAAUAACUCUUAAUAAAUAUGAAUGUUC